GAUGGCCUGGUACCUUCCUGCCGCUGCUGUCACCCUGGGAACUGGAUUCAUUCUUGGACAGAGGAGGCACCUGCCUGUCUAGGGCACUGAGAGGACUCUCAGCACAGGAAGGCACAGGAGUGAACACUUGACACCUUUUCAGAACAGCAAGAAGGAACUCUACUGUUAAGAAGCCGUUGAAAGCAGCCAUUGAUUGUCCGUGGUGUUCAGUCAUGGAAACCACACAAAGAGGCAAAAGCAGGGACCUGCAGACUCACCUACCACUCUUCAUGUGACGGCAUCGACAACUUGGCCCACGUAGGCAGUUUUCCCUGGCAGAGAGCCAGCCAAUCAUCGGUGCAGGAAGGCCCCCUUCUGGUGAAGACACAGAAGAGGGACUUUGAAAUGCUGUCUGUUUAGGCAACUGCUCUGACUGUGUUGAGGCUCAAAGUCAGGCCCAGGCGGAUUAUAUUCUUACUCUUGCCCACUGCUUUCAUUUACCACGAGGCAGUUGCGGUGGUUUGAAUGAGAUGCCCCCCAUAUUCUUCAGCAUGUAAAUACCCAGUACCCGUUGGCGGCCCUGUUUGGUUAGGUUAGGAAGAAUAAUGUCACUGGGGAUGAGCUUGGAGGUUUCACAAGUCAGGUGCCAUUCCCGGUUGGCUCUCCUUGUUUCCUGCUAUUGGUUCAAAUGAUUGCUCUCAGCUGUUUUGCUUCUCUGCCAUGACGUGAUGGACUCAUCCCUCUGGAAUCAUAGGCCCCAAAUACAUUCUUUGUCCAAUAAGUUGCCUUGAUCAUGCUUUUUAUCACAGGGGUAGAAAAGUGAAAAGUAACCAAUAGACAAAAAAAAAAAAAAAAAAAAAAAAAAACCACUAGUGGUAUGGGAGGCAAACUCACGGGUUUCUGGAAGUAGACAGGUAGCCAUUGAUGCUCUCCACAGAGCAGGGAGAGAGGGUAGCGGCUCCAAGACUGUCAGUGUUCUCCUUCUGAGACUACCCUCCUGAUACCGUAAAGGCUCUCUUUUGAGUUCUAUGACUGUCCACAUGACACAGCCGAUGGACUCUGACUAGAGAUAAAGCCUAUUUCAUCCUUCCCAAGAUUCUGGAAGAGAAAAAAGAGGAGAUCCCCAUUGCAGGCAAUGCUGGAGAUAUAAAGGGCAGGACCCGACUCAUUGUCAGCUACGUAGAAGUGACUUUCAGAGAAAUACAGUGACGCUCAGGAAGAAAUAUGAGAUGGAGACAGCAUGCGCUGGUUCUCUUCGGUAUCCUGGCCCCGAUAGUGCCUGAAGCUCCCUAAACCUAUGCUUUGGUCACGUCUCUCCAGUGCACAGACUGAGUUUCCGUCGCCUGCAACCACUGAAUUCCGAUGAACACAAGACCCUUCCUCAAAUGAGCAGUUCACCUCACUCUCGGUCACUUACUGAAAUACAAAGAACUCCGGAUGGGCUGCUCCUGUUUUAACGGGAGAUCUGCACGCCGGUGUCAUCCUGAAGUCCUAUUAGUGCUGGCAGGCAGAGAAGGCAGUGCACACCUGAGGUGAAGACCCGGCCAGGGCCUUUGGAGAAGUGGGCAAAAGUGUGGGAAGAGAGGGGAGGAAGCCGGGAGGGGAGUCAGCAGGAAGAAGAGAUUUCGGAGUGAGAAACGGUCUUGAGAAAGACUCUUGGAGGGGACAGUAAACACAUUUUACUGCUUUCAUAACAUGGUGUUCUGAGGCCAGUGUUUUUAGGUUCAUAAUCAAACAGCGACUGCUAGCUCUAAAAAGGGAGGAAUGGUAUUUAUUCCAGUGCUCCUGGAAUAUUAUUUGCAAGAACUCACUGGCUCUGUAAGAACUUGAUCAACCCUGUAUAUUUUUAAUUGAAAAAAAAUUUUUUAGCAUUGUAUAAACUCUAUACCCUGUUGCUAAGCUAUUAAGGAGACAGGCACCAGGGCAUUAGAAUCUUCUAGUGGUCCCUCAUUUAAAACAUGACUGCUACAAUUGGGGAGCAGUAAAACCUCAUUCUAACACACUUACAGUUGACAUUUUCAGGCUGUAUUGUUCAUGUUUUUAAGUCCUGGAAAAAGGCCCAUUAAAGCCAUGUCACCCACAUUAAUUCAACAUUUAGCCACUUACAAUACAAACCCCAGUCUUUUGGAAAAUGUCAUUAAAAAAGUUUUGCCAUAUAUGGACAUUAUUUAUGGCUUGAGCCCUAUUGUCUACUUAUAAUAUGCCCUUUAUCAGACCCAAAUGCCCACUUCAGAGAUUUUCGUUCUGAGCAACAACUGGCUUCUUACAUUAUCCAAUGAUGCAGGAAAGUUAAAUUACAGCCAGUUCAUAUCAUAGAAACAAAAUGUUUCCUGCAAUUACUGAUAAGGGACAGUUCAUUUUCUCUCUGUCAUCCUGGAAAAAAAAAAAAAAACCCUCCUAACAACAAUUCAUGCCUGGUUAAACAGGAUUUCCACAUCUCCUGCUGACAUCUUUCCAAAUAAUUCAGGGCUGUUAUUACUGUAUAGCCCUGGCAAGGCUCAAAAGCAAGCAGACUUGACGAGUCUGCUCAAAGCACAGCUUAAGUAGUUGUAAUUAAUAAUAAUUACAUGCCCACUACACUCCAGGUUUAUCAUAUUAUCCGUCAAUGCAAAUAAAAAAAAAUCCCCAUACAACACACUAGCAGCAAGAUUGGUGCAUUAAUAAAGCAACUGUACAGACAUCAUCUUCAUAAAGUUUAAAGUAUUUGUGCUGGUUCCUGUUUUUAUCGAUGUUCAGUAUUCUCUGUCUGUUUGCAAAAAUGUGGCUUGGGUCCCAUACAGCAUGUGGCCACAUUUUUAUUUUUUAUUUAUUUAUUUUUUUUACUUCCAAAAGCCUCCUCAUUCCUGCCGUGACUCGGAUUCGAACCGAGGUUGCUGCGGCCACAACGCAGAGUACUAACCACUAUACGAUCACGGCGAGCUACCGACGG
Peromyscus maniculatus bairdii (prairie deer mouse) is the source of this 2908-nucleotide non-coding RNA. The record is from RefSeq and is a predicted model, not a curated record. Lineage: Eukaryota; Metazoa; Chordata; Mammalia; Rodentia; Cricetidae.